GGCUCAGGAUGAACGCUGGCGGCGUGCUUAACACAUGCAAGUCGAACGAAGCACUUUAUUUGAUUUUCUUCGGAAAUGAAGAUUUUGUGACUGAGUGGCGGACGGGUGAGUAACGCGUGGAUAACCUGCCUCAGUACAGGGGGAUAACAGUUGGAAACGACUGCUAAUACCGCAUAAGCGCACAGGACCGCAUGGUCUGGUGUGAAAAACUCCGGUGGUAUGAGAUGGACCCGCGUCUGAUUAGCUAGUUGGUGGGGUAACGGCCUACCAAGGCGACGAUCAGUAGCCGACCUGCGAGGGUGACCGGCCACAUUGGGACUGAGACACGGCCCAAACUCCUACGGGAGGCAGCAGUGGGGAAUAUUGCACAAUGGGCGAAAGCCUGAUGCAGCGACGCCGCGUGAGCGAAGAAGUAUUUCGGUAUGUAAAGCUCUAUCAGCAGGGAAGAAAAAUGACGGUACCUGACUAAGAAGCACCGGCUAAAUACGUG
RNAcentral lists this ribosomal RNA (490 nucleotides) under uncultured bacterium. RNAcentral's name for it is "bacterial SSU rRNA". It matches the Rfam family "Bacterial small subunit ribosomal RNA", at positions 21 to 507 of the family's 1533-position model. The record is from RNAcentral.